UUACGGGAGGCAGCAGUAAGGGAUAUUGCGCAAUGGGCGAAAGCCUGACGCAGCAACGCCGCGUGGAGGAUGACGGCCUUCGGGUUGUAAACUCCUUUUGACCCGGACGAGGAAGGACGGUACGGGUCGAAGAAGUCACGGCUAACUACGUGCCAGCAGCCGCGGUAAAACGUAGGUGGCGAGCGUUAUCCGGAUUUACUGGGCGUAAAGCGUGUGCAGGUGGUGGUUCAAGUGGUGUAUGAAAUCGCUCGGCUUAACCGGGCGGGGUUAUGCCAGACUGAGCCACUGGAGUACGGGAGAGGGGCGUGGAAUUCCGGGUGUAGUGGUGAAAUGCGUAGAGAUCCGGAGGAACCCCAGCGGCGAAGGCGGCGCCCUGGCCCGAUACUGACACUCAGACACGACAGCAUGGGGAGCGAACGGGAUUAGAUACCCGUGUAGUCCG
RNAcentral lists this ribosomal RNA (442 nucleotides) under uncultured bacterium. RNAcentral describes it as "bacterial SSU rRNA". It matches the Rfam family "Bacterial small subunit ribosomal RNA", at positions 339 to 797 of the family's 1533-position model. The record is from RNAcentral.